CCUAAGUCGAUGCGACAAUGUGAGUACAUUAGUGGAAAACAUUUACAACAUCAACUUAAAACUAUUAUUUAAACACAUAACAUAUCAGGGUGAUGCAACGAUGCAAACAACAUGAAAAGAGUUUUUUAGAGCAAACACAGAAAUUCAAACAAUCACAGGAGGUUUGUCUCGCUCAUUGAACUGCCACUUAAUCCAUUCAAAUUUUUCGUUUGUGUCUCUUAUGACGUCGAGCAUGUCUCGAUAACACUUUUAUGCCAAAAGUGUACAGGCAAAAAAGUAAAAUGAUGUUCGAUCCUCGAGCCGUCUUGUCGCUAACAACUCUUUGAUGUAGGCGACGCCAGCGUUUUAGUUCGAAGCCAUCAUGGUAAUGAUCUUCACAGCCACUUUUUCGGUGGCAAUGGUGGUCCGGUCAACUAAGAACGAAAGCUCACGUGCAGAGUUUUUUUUCUUCUUGCCUCGUCGCUUGGCACUGGAAGACUUCCUUUCACCUCUGCUUAUGGUAUUCGAGACAUUCAUGCCUGAUCUACCGUCUGUUUCGUCUGCUCAUCAUUCGAACCACUACUCUCCCAUCGAUCGGGAUGCAGCGUAUUGCCCUCGAACAAGCUGAACCCCGUUCUACACAAUUUAAUCGAAGUGACUGUGUACUUGUCAUUGUCGUAACUAUUGGCGAAUAGUUGACGAUAACGGAUGUAGAUUAUGCUCACAUCCUUGUUCUCCUACAAACAAUGGUUAAACAAUGAAGGCAGCAGUUCGAAUGAAAAAAAAAGUGUCAACAAUCCAAACAUGAUAGUGACAAGAAUUCAGUGAGCAUGGUGCGAUGCAAAUAGCCAUAAUAGCGCAUGUGCAAAAGUACAUAGGAAGUUAAAAGGGUACUUAACAACCAUUUCCAAAUCAGAAUGCUAUAGCUUUAAUGCUCGAAAGACAUGUUUUAAUGUGAUAGUUAGAAAAGAGACAAUGUGAUAGUUGUGUUAAAUACGUUAAAGAAAGCAAUGUGAGAUCUUGCAUUUAAAAAAAAAAAAAAAAACAGAUGCUAAACUCAAUGAACAUGCAUGUAACUAUGAAUAAUAACUUUAGUCAAAUAAUAUGAAUAGUUCAAUUACAAUAAUAAAAAAAAAAGCCAUUGAAUUGUAGUAUAACAGUGAAAACUAGAAAAAAGAAAACAUCAUUGCAAUAACGGGAUAAUUAAAUCGGAAUACACAUAUAUAGGGUUCCUGUUUGCACACACGACCUCUACCCCAAACACGAACAAAAAUUGUAGGAAAUAAUAAAUCAAAAAGGAAAUGGGGAACAAGAUGAAAUACUAUAGCCCAUAACUUGAAAAUAAGACCUACGUUAGCUGAUUUAAAUUUGGAAGCACAUCAAAAGUCAUAACCAACAUCUCUAAAAUGAGGAGUACUUUUACUACCUGGUUUUUACACAUUAGAAGACUAAAAUGCAAAUUCUUGUAUUCCCAUAAAUCAAUCCACAUUUAACAGCAGCUACAAGAUAAAAUUAUAGCAACGUCUCAAGGAGAACGACACGCAAAUGCAUUCUUCGAAACCAUAACCACGUCCACAUAUUUUUGUAACGAAAUUGAUAUAUACGAAAAUGUAACAUGCUGAGUGGGCAGAAAUGAACAAGCAGAUGUACAUUUGUAUCCGACAAGAAAAUGGGUGACCUUUAUCUUUCAAGUCCACCAUUCCGUCGAUGCUACAAUUCGGCUGGUGGAUGGGUUGUAUUCGACUCCGCUGCAAUUUAACAGCUCAGAAAGAUGUUUGUGGGCUCGACGCAUUGCAUCCCAAUGGCUGCACAGUUGUUGCUUGCUCCAUUUGUGCUCAGAAAUAGAGUUGAACCGUAAAAACUGGCUCCUAGUCGUGCAUGUUUCAUAAAACACCGACCAUUUCGAUGUCCUUCGACAAUGGUGAUUUAACAAGCUGCAAUGAACAUUUAGGUCUCCGAUGGGUUCCACAGCGUAAGAUUUCAUCUCGAAGGCAUGUCCGAGUUCCUAUGCCACAAAAGAGUUACCGUGCGGAACGUAUCCCAUAUUCAUGCAUAAAGGUGAGCAUCAACAAGUGGUGUUUAAUGAGGAAAAGUGUGAGAAUAAUUUUGUAGUCUAUCAAAAUACUUGUUUGUCAGUCGGAUCCAUUCGGUUGACUAAGAUGCAAAGGAGAGGCAGUAGCGACAUCGGAGCAGGGACUGAUAUUUCACAACUACGGUGCUCGACUACGUUAACGUGAUGCAAAUUUACGGCCACGAUGUUGAGGAACUGCUCUUCCUCUAAGAUUUUGGUGCUACGACACGUGUUACAAUUUCGACCGCCUUGUUCUACCUAAUCUUUGACAGGACGACUGUGUUGAAGGAGAAGUAUUUGGUGAUUAGGUCGAACAAUUUCACAAAAAGCUUAAAUUGCCUUCAGCUGUUCUAUGAUUCCAUCUACAAAGUGCUCUGUGCUUUUGGGUACAUCUUCGAUGGGGGAAGGGCAAAAUAAGGAAAGUGUAAAGACUACGGGAUUGUUGAAGACACAUGGGAUGUCAGAACAUGGAUGGGUAACGGUCCAAAAG
Molecule: long non-coding RNA, 2540 nt
Filed under: Olea europaea subsp. europaea
Lineage: Eukaryota; Viridiplantae; Streptophyta; Magnoliopsida; Lamiales; Oleaceae
Source: RNAcentral